CCUGGUGGUUAUAUGCCGGGGGUCCCACCCGUUCCCAUCCCGAACACGGCCGUUAAGCCCCGAGCAGCCAAUGGUAGUUGGACGUAAGGUCCCGCGAGAGUAGGUUGUCGCCAGGU
Molecule: ribosomal RNA, 116 nt
Filed under: Opitutaceae bacterium
Lineage: Bacteria; Pseudomonadati; Verrucomicrobiota; Opitutia; Opitutales; Opitutaceae
Source: RNAcentral